CCUCCAACACACCCCCUGCCCCGCUAUUCGUGAAUCACAAUCCCUCUGAACUCUGAAGCAAAGUUCAAAAUCACCAUACCAAAACCCUAGGUUCUCCCUGCAACGGUUCUGCCGCAGUGCCGCCGCCGUCCGUGCUGUCGGCGCCUCCGCGUCCUCUCUUGUAGCCCAGGCCCUCUCUUGUAGCUCGGUGUCCUCCUUUCCCCUGUCCCCGUCCUCCUUGGCUUCUCCGUUCGAGGUUGGAGCAGCUCGCCGCCGUGUCGCCGCUCGCCGUCCGUGUCUCCGUCGAAGAACUGAGAAGGAAAAUGGCAAUCUGAACCUGCAAAAGGAUUUCCGCAGCGUCAGUGCUCACACUCGCAGGAACAAGAAAACUAACUCUUUUUCUGCCCUCUGGAAAAUUAUCUAGAUGGUUGCUGUUCUACUUGGAGCAAUCACAUUUGGCCUUGGGACUUGGCAGAUUUUUCCGGAGACAAGAUAAGGUGUGUUUUUUCUUAUACUUAGCUGAGCACCUAUAUAUAUAUUGGUGCUCAGCUAAAAGAGUUUCACAAU
This is an RNA transcript of Arachis duranensis, 546 nucleotides long. RefSeq lists it as uncharacterized. The transcript has 3 exons. Lineage: Eukaryota; Viridiplantae; Streptophyta; Magnoliopsida; Fabales; Fabaceae. The record is from RefSeq and is a predicted model, not a curated record.